GUGAGGAAUAUUGGUCAAUGGACGCAAGUCUGAACCAGCCAUGCCGCGUGCAGGAAGACGGCUCUAUGAGUUGUAAACUGCUUUUGUACGAGGGUAAACUCACCUACGUGUAGGUGACUGAAAGUAUCGUACGAAUAAGGAUCGGCUAACUCCGUGCCAGCAGCCGCGGUAAUACGGAGGAUUCAAGCGUUAUCCGGAUUUAUUGGGUUUAAAGGGUGCGUAGGCGGUUUGAUAAGUUAGAGGUGAAAUCCCGGGGCUUAACUCCGGAACUGCCUCUAAUACUGUUAGACUAGAGAGUAGUUGCGGUAGGCGGAAUGUAUGGUGUAGCGGUGAAAUGCUUAGAGAUCAUACAGAACACCGAUUGCGAAGGCAGCUUACCAAACUAUAUCUGACGUUGAGGCACGAAAGCGUGGGGAGCAAACAGGAUUAGAUACCCUAGUAGUCC
RNAcentral lists this ribosomal RNA (445 nucleotides) under uncultured bacterium. RNAcentral describes it as "bacterial SSU rRNA". It matches the Rfam family "Bacterial small subunit ribosomal RNA", at positions 354 to 796 of the family's 1533-position model. The record is from RNAcentral.